CGAUGCUACAUUGCAGACCCAGUGGCCAGAUACUGCCUCACGAAUAGCUGUCUCUAGCAUCCCAGAGAGUGGGUUUCUUUUAAACUUUCUUGUUCAACCCCCCAGUGACUUCUCUUCUUUGCCAUUCAGUUAGCCAUGCUGAUCCUGUCUAACGAGUUCAAGAUCUCAGUUUUAGGGGGCUUCUUCCAUGGGGCUCUAUCUUAGUCCCAGGACUAGUGGUUCCUCCUUGUAUUUGCUACCCCCGUGUUCUUUAGAGUUGUUUUUAUUUUUUUACUAUCCAAUUCCUUGUAAUUCCAAAUCACUGUUUAUUUUGUAGUUCUUCAUAUUAAACUUAACUUGCUCAAAUUACCACAAGGUUUCUCUGUCCUGACUGGAACCUGACUUAUAUAGGAUGAUAACACAAUAGAUAAUGGAAAAGAAUGAACCUCCCAGGGACUAAGACCAGUGGCCACGAGAGCAGUGGACAAACAAGUUCUUUCUAGAGAUUCCAGAGAUCAGAAUUGGAGCCUAAGCAAGGAAUUUACUUUAUCGCCUGGGAAGGAAGCCUUCUCAGUUCCUGCCAAACAGAGUAUCAUAGUGGUUGCUAUGUUUCCCAUUUUUCAUUUUCAGAAUGGUGUUUUUUGGUUGUUUUGUUUGUUUGUUUUUGUCUUUUUAGGGCCGCAUGCACAGCACAUGGAAAUUUCCAGGCCAGGGAUCAAAUCAGAGCUACAGCUGCCGGCCACAGCAACCCCAGAUCUGAGCCACAUCUGCGACCUACACCACAGUUCACGGCAACGCCAUAUCUUUAACCCACUGAGCAAGGCCAUCGAUCAAACCUGUGUCCUCAUUGAUCCUGGCCAGAUUGAUUACCACUGAGCCAUAGUGGGAACUCUGAGAAUGGUGGGUUUUAUGGCAGCUCUUUAUCUUGUAUUGAAAUGUAUGGGAGUGUAAGUAACUUGGCUGUUAUAUAAUGAAUUGCUAGUCCUUGAAGGUCCACUCCAGAUCAGCUGGAGAGAGAUAAACAUCACUAGGUGAUCCUAGCUGUUGAACUGGGAACAAUAACUAGAUGAACUUUCAGUCGCAUUCUUUGGGGAGGCCCUGUGUUUUCGUGUGGGAAGACUGGUGCGCGUGGGUAUGUGUGGGCUAGAGGCUAAAGGCAGGAACAUCUGUUUUGUUUGUUUGUUUGUUUAAUAUUCUUUACCCAUUUUUCCUUUAAUAAAACUCCUUAAGUUUUUGGUGAGUACUUGCCCAGCUAGAGACUGUAUUUGCCCAUUCUCCUUUGUAGAUGUGUACAGAUGGGUGGGUUCUCGACAGGAAUGUGGGAAGAGGUGAGGUGUGCUCUUAAGACAUUUAGGGGUCUGUCCCACUCUCUCUUUCCCUUGGUCUUGAGUCAACACAGUGCUGGUGAGCCAGCUUCGAAUAUGUAGUCGAGGGGAAACUUGGGGGUUUCAAAGGACCCCCCAUAGAAGACCUGAGUUCCUGAAUGUCUUUAAGAAGCAGGGUCUCCUGGUUACCUUAGGACUGAUACGUGAGAGAAACAUGACAAUUUGUUGUUGUUGCUGUGAGCUAAUGUACUCUCGGCCUCUCUGUUGCAUCCACUUAGCCUCUUCCCCAACUAACGGUCUUCUUUCUCCUACUCCUUUCCUUCUUUCUGACAUGGAACUUUUGCAGUCUGCCCCUCCCAGUUUCUGAGAAGAGAAGGGUUUGCUGCAAUCUUUGGCUUCAUCUCAUUACUCUUUACUGUCACUGCCUGCAGGCAGAGCCGUAAUGUAAAUGUAAAACUGUGUUCAGCACAAGUUCCCUUGAGUAUAUAAUUAUAACGCAUUCCGGGGUGCACCUAAAUAAGACGACUCUGUUUCUCCAACCUGAGAUCGCUUUUAGUGUCAGUCACACAGUAGGAUAUAGACAGAGGCAGUAGCUGUAGUAACUAACACUAAAUGAGGCAGACCACAAUAUAAAAUAUUACCCGUUUUCAUUGCUGAUGAUCUGGGGAAGAUUCAGAUAACUUGGAGGCCUUAGGGGUGGGAUGGGGGAAUCCUAAUUCAUCUUGGAAGUGUGCAAAAGUACUUCAUAAUGAAGUGAUAUUUUUGUUUCUCUUCAAAAGCACUAAGUGACUUGGUUCUAUUUUUAGCAUAAAAUGAUGAAAACAAUAUUAUCAUGUUUUCUAUCAUCAAAUCACAGAUACUGACCAAAGUGUAGAUAUUGGAUUCAGUUAUAUAAUUUAUAACAGCUACUGUAUUUAUAUACAUAUGAAGAUCAUUUAAUAUAUAAAUACACUAAAAUAUAUUUUAAAAGUAUAUGCAUAUUUAUAUACCACCAAAACCUUUAAAACAUACACACAAAAGCAGUCGUUGUAAUAGUGCUUUACCAUUGAUGGCCAACUCUUUCAGUGACUAAAUUAUAACAUACUUAUUUAAAAAAAAAACAUGCUUAUUUCAAAACUCAAACUCUUAUUUGAAGCAAAUCUUCAUAAAUCAAUUAUUUAUUUCAUGAUUAAAUAAACAGGUUAUUCUUAUUGGAUUUUGACACAUAUCUCAGGACUCAGGUUUGAAUCUAGAACCUUUACAUAGGAGAAGUUAUUUUUGUGAAUCAUUCGGAAAAAAUAUUCAAGUAAUUAAAAAUAAAUGCCUUCAUUUUCUAAAAUAAAUGAACUUAAUUGCCAAUACUAAUUUAACGCCUUUGAAAAUAAAGUUUUGAAGAAGUAAAGGGAUGUAACUAAUUUCAGCGCUGAAAAUCAAAUAGAAGUAAAAAGUUUAGAAACAAUGCAGUAUUUCCCAAAUUUUAAUCACUGACCCACCUUCACAAUUUUUGGCAUAGCCGUAACACUUAAAAUAAUAUUUAUCAAAUCAUUUUUUAAUCAUAAUUCAUUCAUUUUUCUUAAAUAUUUUUAAUUUGAAAAAUCAGCAUCAGAGUUUUACUUUCUGUAAGUAUUGUGCUCAGCACAUAAUAUUGAUUUCUACAUACUUAAAAUACUUUUGGGUGUUCUGUCUAAAGUCAUCUCACAUGGCCCACAUAUCACAUUUUGGUCGAUGAUUGAUAUAAUGCUGAAGUAUAUAACUUUUUAGUAUUUAGGGCAUAAGUAAAAUAUGCUAGACUUAAAAUUUCAUUGUGGUGAAAGUGUAUCCAUGCCCUAAUUAAGCAGCAUUAGUGUUAUUAAUAUGAAAUAAUAAUUAUUCCAUCACUUUAAGAUACUCAAACUGUUGAGCAAGCCAGUGAGACUUAGAGCACAUUUUAUAGAGAAGUAGACAACGGUGUUAUUAAUAAGGGUAACUUCACUCUAAUUGAGCUGCUCCAGCUUUGUGUUCACCAUAGUUAAAGAGAUAAGGUGCCAGUGAAUUAUAUCUCUAAGAUUAAAUAUGUUCAGUAGCAAUUAUGCUAUGAAAAGAAACUUUUUUAUGAAGAGCUUAACAGAAAUGUUUCAUUUGCCUAAAACAAUUGAAUAAUAUGCUUUAUAAUUAUCUUUGAGGUAAGAAAAUAAUAGCACAGCACUGAACAAUAUUUUAGGUUUUUGUGAUUGUAUUUAUGCAUAUCUGUAAAUUGCCAAUUUGCAGGCAAGAACUCUCAAAAAUUCAAAUUAUGUUUUUUAGGUAAUAAAGUGGUAAGAAAGAUUACUCUACAAAUGCAACACACCAUUUUCAUUGACUAUGACACAUCCAUCUGAAGAGCAGUGCAUUUGGAUUUGGAGACAACAUAUUUAUGAUAGGGGUUUUCUGUCACCUAAUGUCUUGGAUUACCAUGUACUUACAAAUGUGAUUAUGGACCAAAAUGCUGGAUGCAGUCAAGCUUCAACUCCAUUUAAUUCUUGGAAUUUUGCCCAGAUAAAUGUGCUUGGUAAGCUGUGACACCAUACAUGCUUUAGAAUGACUACAGCUGAGUAAUGAAGCUUCAGUACUCCGUAAAAUCACCCCAGUUGUGCAGAGUACAGCGGAGAGCCCUGGCAUAACCACGUAGAGUAAGCCCGUGUUGUUCCAUCCACCCCGUGCUUUCUCAGUGGGCUGAAAUCCAUCUGGUCAGGCCCGCUUUGGAGGUAUAUUCUUUUCUAUUGCUGUGUAACAGAUUCCUACAAUUUAGCAGCACCUAAUUUAUUAGGUCACAGUUGUAUAGGUUAGAAGUCCAGCACAGCAUGGCUGGGUUCUACUCAGGCUAAAUCAGGGCAUCAGGCAGCCACUCUCACGUGGAGUUCGGGUCCUUUUCCUAGUUCAUACUUAUUAUUGGCAGAAUACACCUCUUUGCUGUUGUAAAACUGAGGUUUCUCUUUCCUUGCUGGCUGUCAGUUGGAAACAGCUCUAAACUCUUAGAGGCUGGUCCCCAUUCCUUGCCGCGAGGUCCUCUCCAUCUGCUGCCUCAGCAGAGGAGAAUGACCCUUUGAAUUUCUCCAACUUCCUCUUUCGUGAGCAUCCAGAGGAGAAACUCCUGUUUUAAAGAAAGUUAAAGAAGUUUCUGUUUAAAACUUCUGUGUUGUGAUUAGGUCAGACCCUCCAAGAUAAUCUCCCCAUCUCAAAGGUUAAUUGUUCAUAUAAUCACAGCCAUGAAACAUACUCACUUCAGUCCUGGGGACUGGGCAGGCUGUGUACACCAGGGACAGGGAAUAUUAGGGAAUAUUUUAGAAUACUGCCUGCCUUUGAGGCUUUUGUCACUUUUACUCUCAGCUUUACAGAUUUCUUGGAUUUCAGCCCUACACCCAAGCCUUUUUUUUUUUUCUCAAAAGAAACUCAGAAAAACUCAAAUUGUCACGAAAUUAGUCUACAUAUAAUAAAAUAAACAUAAAAGAAGUGUAUUUCUGGGCUUGCAAAUGUGUUUCAAAAUGUCACCAAAUAAGCUUAGAUGCUAUUCAUCAUUCUCAUUGCAAAUGUAGCUUUGACUAAACCAUCACCUUAUGGUGAAGGACUUUUGUGACAGUAUAGUAGCUGACAAUGUGGUUUAAUAAUGGCAUUCUGUUACUUCCAAUAUGAUUUCUUUCUAACCAGUGCCAAGCCUAUUUGCAAAUGUGGGCAAAUAACAGGUUUAUUUUGAUACUAAUUUAUUUGUUUAUGAUAUAUUUUUUCCCCCUACACAAGAGUAUUUUUUUAGGAUCUAAGAGAUUUGUAGGCAAGUAGUGAAAAAAUAAUUAUUGGUGAUUUUUUCAUGUCCACCUAUUCUGAAAUGCCUUAUCUCACUCACCAUGUCUAAUUAUUAAUUGGAUUCUUGUAGUAGCUAAUUCUCAACCAAAAGUUUUGAUUUACCAGUGCAUAGGUGAAAAAUUAUUUAUUAAGACACAAAUGUCUGAUUUGGAGGUGCUCAAUAAAACACUAAAAUUUAUUGCUAAAUAUCAAAUUGCUAGUCUUGAAUCAAGGUAAA
This 5316-nucleotide long non-coding RNA is filed under the name Sus scrofa (pig). Its description in RNAcentral is "lncRNA (ENSSSCG00000054481.1)". The record is from RNAcentral. Lineage: Eukaryota; Metazoa; Chordata; Mammalia; Artiodactyla; Suidae.